GUUGGCUUGAAUCGCACCAUCACUGCCUUGUCAUUGAAGGAGGAGGCGGACAUAGUCCAGCUAUAUACAGCUCUCCAUGACAUGGACAAGAAGCAUUCAAGCUACACCCAGAAGGCUAGAAAGAAAGGACAGGCAUCAGGAGGACCAUGGAGAGCACCGAGGAGGCCGAGUGGCUCUGCUCCUGGACAGCAGGCGGCAGAGAGACUAUACAUGACUCACGGCCAAGCAGCCCAGGAUCCAGAACACGACUGGGUCAGUGAGUGUGUCUGCCUCAGACUGGCCAAGGAGUUCGAGCAGUCCCGCAACAGGCCCAAGGACACGAGGGGGAAAACCCUGCCCAUCCCUCAGUCAAUUGUGAGCAUUUACAGCCACAUUAGACAGCUGCUGGAGGACAGCAGGGUUAUCGUGGUCCAGACGGCGCUGGCUCUGGAACAACACCACGAUCUCUGCAUGUAAUGGCAACAUAGAUGAAGCUCGAACCAUUGAGGAGGCACGCUACGCUGUUUGCUAUUCACGGUUUCAGAAAGGUGGCUGGGUAGUCCGCCCCAUCAAGGAGAAACCAUCUUACGGAUAUGCAACAAAUCUUAUGGUCUCUCUGGUAGAGGAAUACUCUAGAUCACCACAGGCCCUACAAGAAAGCAGUGCUGUCUUGUCUUGUGCUGCCCGGCCCCCCCUCACCACUUCCCUCCAGAAGGUUGCCAAGGAUGAGGCAGUCAGGCUCCAUCUCGCACGACACUCGCGUUUUAACGUGUAAUUAAACAUACGUGAAAGAAAUUGGGAGAAAACGGGUAUCGGUACUCUUUAGUUUGUUUAUUAGUUACAAUGGAACUGAGUUGAUGGUAUAGUGUAUGAUGACAACAUCAGUGAAUGAGAUGAUGAGAAUAUAUUUUGGGACUGUUUAUUAUGCUACCUUUCUUCUUUUUUAACGACUCCAGUGUGUGAGUGCAUUGAAUUUCCC
This is a long non-coding RNA of Gadus morhua (Atlantic cod), 958 nucleotides long. Lineage: Eukaryota; Metazoa; Chordata; Actinopteri; Gadiformes; Gadidae. The record is from Ensembl.